Molecule: ribosomal RNA, 1050 nt
Filed under: Gastrocopta cristata
Lineage: Eukaryota; Metazoa; Mollusca; Gastropoda; Stylommatophora; Pupillidae
Description: 16S ribosomal RNA
Rfam family: Archaeal large subunit ribosomal RNA (bases 700-993)
Source: RNAcentral
AUUAAAUAAAUGUAUUAUGUACUAUUAUAAAAAUUAAUUAAAAUGAUUAUAAAAGUAGUAGGUUUGUUCUUACCUUUUGCAUAAUGGUUAAAUUAAAAUCUUUUGUUUAUUCAAUUACCCGAAAUAAGAAGAUCUAUGAUUUUUUAACUGUUAGGUUGUUAAUUUUAAUGUAGAAUAAUUAAUUUACAAUGAAAUUAUAGGGGUGAAACGCUUUCAAUUCUUAGGAUAACUGGAUUAAAUAGAAAAACAUUUAGUGUUUUAGUCAGGCAAUAAGUGAUAAGAUUUAUUGCUAAAAAAGAUUUUAAUUUUUAAUAUUUACAGGAACUAAAUAUUCUAUAGUAUAUAUAAACUAGAAUUGUUUUUAAAUUGAUCUUUUUAAAAAUAUUUAAGCUUUCAUGAAUAUCUCUGAGGGUUUUUACUGUUUAAAUUAGUAUUAAGUUUUAAUUUUUAAUAAGGAACUCGGCAAAAAUUUUUCCUCAACUGUUUAUCAAAAACAUAGCUUUAAGAAAGUUAGAAUAAAUUUAAAGUUUCACCUGCCCUGUGAUUUUAUUUAACGGCCGCAGUACUUUGACUGUGCUAAGGUAGCAUAAUAAAUUGGCCUUUAAUUGGGGUCGAGUAUGAAAGGGAUUAUGGGGAAAUACUGUCUUUUUAAAAAUUACAUAAAAUUUACUGAAUAGGUGAAAAUACCUAUAGUUACUUUUAAGACGAGAAGACCCUAAGAAUUAUAAUUAAAGGAUAUUAGUUCUUCGUUUUUGUUGGGGCAACAUUGUUAGGAAAUAUAACCAACAUUAAUAAAGUUUUACAUGUCUACUAUAAUUAGAAAGGUUUUAAUUACCUUAGGGAUAACAGCAUAAUUAUAUUUAUAGAUUGUGACCUCGAUGUUGGACUAGGGACUUUAGUUAUUAUCCAUUACUAGAGAUAGUUCUGUUCGAACUGUAAAACCCUACAUGAUCUGAGUUCAGACCGGCGUAAGCCAGGUCAGUUUCUAUCUAAUAUAGGAGGUAUAGUAGUACGAAAGGACCCUAUAUCUACAAAUUAUUUGUUUUAACU